Molecule: ribosomal RNA, 2924 nt
Filed under: Escherichia coli
Lineage: Bacteria; Pseudomonadati; Pseudomonadota; Gammaproteobacteria; Enterobacterales; Enterobacteriaceae
Description: Large Subunit Ribosomal RNA
Rfam family: Bacterial large subunit ribosomal RNA
Source: RNAcentral
GGUUAAGCGACUAAGCGUACACGGUGGAUGCCCUGGCAGUCAGAGGCGAUGAAGGACGUGCUAAUCUGCGAUAAGCGUCGGUAAGGUGAUAUGAACCGUUAUAACCGGCGAUUUCCGAAUGGGGAAACCCAGUGUGUUUCGACACACUAUCAUUAACUGAAUCCAUAGGUUAAUGAGGCGAACCGGGGGAACUGAAACAUCUAAGUACCCCGAGGAAAAGAAAUCAACCGAGAUUCCCCCAGUAGCGGCGAGCGAACGGGGAGCAGCCCAGAGCCUGAAUCAGUGUGUGUGUUAGUGGAAGCGUCUGGAAAGGCGCGCGAUACAGGGUGACAGCCCCGUACACAAAAAUGCACAUGCUGUGAGCUCGAUGAGUAGGGCGGGACACGUGGUAUCCUGUCUGAAUAUGGGGGGACCAUCCUCCAAGGCUAAAUACUCCUGACUGACCGAUAGUGAACCAGUACCGUGAGGGAAAGGCGAAAAGAACCCCGGCGAGGGGAGUGAAAAAGAACCUGAAACCGUGUACGUACAAGCAGUGGGAGCACGCUUAGGCGUGUGACUGCGUACCUUUUGUAUAAUGGGUCAGCGACUUAUAUUCUGUAGCAAGGUUAACCGAAUAGGGGAGCCGAAGGGAAACCGAGUCUUAACUGGGCGUUAAGUUGCAGGGUAUAGACCCGAAACCCGGUGAUCUAGCCAUGGGCAGGUUGAAGGUUGGGUAACACUAACUGGAGGACCGAACCGACUAAUGUUGAAAAAUUAGCGGAUGACUUGUGGCUGGGGGUGAAAGGCCAAUCAAACCGGGAGAUAGCUGGUUCUCCCCGAAAGCUAUUUAGGUAGCGCCUCGUGAAUUCAUCUCCGGGGGUAGAGCACUGUUUCGGCAAGGGGGUCAUCCCGACUUACCAACCCGAUGCAAACUGCGAAUACCGGAGAAUGUUAUCACGGGAGACACACGGCGGGUGCUAACGUCCGUCGUGAAGAGGGAAACAACCCAGACCGCCAGCUAAGGUCCCAAAGUCAUGGUUAAGUGGGAAACGAUGUGGGAAGGCCCAGACAGCCAGGAUGUUGGCUUAGAAGCAGCCAUCAUUUAAAGAAAGCGUAAUAGCUCACUGGUCGAGUCGGCCUGCGCGGAAGAUGUAACGGGGCUAAACCAUGCACCGAAGCUGCGGCAGCGACGCUGAUGCGUUGUUGGGUAGGGGAGCGUUCUGUAAGCCUGCGAAGGUGUGCUGUGAGGCAUGCUGGAGGUAUCAGAAGUGCGAAUGCUGACAUAAGUAACGAUAAAGCGGGUGAAAAGCCCGCUCGCCGGAAGACCAAGGGUUCCUGUCCAACGUUAAUCGGGGCAGGGUGAGUCGACCCCUAAGGCGAGGCCGAAAGGCGUAGUCGAUGGGAAACAGGUUAAUAUUCCUGUACUUGGUGUUACUGCGAAGGGGGGACGGAGAAGGCUAUGUUGGCCGGGCGACGGUUGUCCCGGUUUAAGCGUGUAGGCUGGUUUUCCAGGCAAAUCCGGAAAAUCAAGGCUGAGGCGUGAUGACGAGGCACUACGGUGCUGAAGCAACAAAUGCCCUGCUUCCAGGAAAAGCCUCUAAGCAUCAGGUAACAUCAAAUCGUACCCCAAACCGACACAGGUGGUCAGGUAGAGAAUACCAAGGCGCUUGAGAGAACUCGGGUGAAGGAACUAGGCAAAAUGGUGCCGUAACUUCGGGAGAAGGCACGCUGAUAUGUAGGUGAGGUCCCUCGCGGAUGGAGCUGAAAUCAGUCGAAGAUACCAGCUGGCUGCAACUGUUUAUUAAAAACACAGCACUGUGCAAACACGAAAGUGGACGUAUACGGUGUGACGCCUGCCCGGUGCCGGAAGGUUAAUUGAUGGGGUUAGCGCAAGCGAAGCUCUUGAUCGAAGCCCCGGUAAACGGCGGCCGUAACUAUAACGGUCCUAAGGUAGCGAAAUUCCUUGUCGGGUAAGUUCCGACCUGCACGAAUGGCGUAAUGAUGGCCAGGCUGUCUCCACCCGAGACUCAGUGAAAUUGAACUCGCUGUGAAGAUGCAGUGUACCCGCGGCAAGACGGAAAGACCCCGUGAACCUUUACUAUAGCUUGACACUGAACAUUGAGCCUUGAUGUGUAGGAUAGGUGGGAGGCUUAGAAGUGUGGACGCCAGUCUGCAUGGAGCCGACCUUGAAAUACCACCCUUUAAUGUUUGAUGUUCUAACGUUGACCCGUAAUCCGGGUUGCGGACAGUGUCUGGUGGGUAGUUUGACUGGGGCGGUCUCCUCCUAAAGAGUAACGGAGGAGCACGAAGGUUGGCUAAUCCUGGUCGGACAUCAGGAGGUUAGUGCAAUGGCAUAAGCCAGCUUGACUGCGAGCGUGACGGCGCGAGCAGGUGCGAAAGCAGGUCAUAGUGAUCCGGUGGUUCUGAAUGGAAGGGCCAUCGCUCAACGGAUAAAAGGUACUCCGGGGAUAACAGGCUGAUACCGCCCAAGAGUUCAUAUCGACGGCGGUGUUUGGCACCUCGAUGUCGGCUCAUCACAUCCUGGGGCUGAAGUAGGUCCCAAGGGUAUGGCUGUUCGCCAUUUAAAGUGGUACGCGAGCUGGGUUUAGAACGUCGUGAGACAGUUCGGUCCCUAUCUGCCGUGGGCGCUGGAGAACUGAGGGGGGCUGCUCCUAGUACGAGAGGACCGGAGUGGACGCAUCACUGGUGUUCGGGUUGUCAUGCCAAUGGCACUGCCCGGUAGCUAAAUGCGGAAGAGAUAAGUGCUGAAAGCAUCUAAGCACGAAACUUGCCCCGAGAUGAGUUCUCCCUGACCCUUUAAGGGUCCUGAAGGAACGUUGAAGACGACGACGUUGAUAGGCCGGGUGUGUAAGCGCAGCGAUGCGUUGAGCUAACCGGUACUAAUGAACCGUGAGGCUUAACCUUACAACGCCGAAGCUGUUUUG